Molecule: transfer RNA, 71 nt
Filed under: Sphaerodactylus townsendi
Lineage: Eukaryota; Metazoa; Chordata; Lepidosauria; Squamata; Sphaerodactylidae
Description: tRNA-Ala
Source: RNAcentral
GGGGCUGUGGCUCAGUGGUAGAGCCUCCGUUUGGCAUGCAGAAGGCCACGGGUUCGAUCUCAGGCACCUCA